This is a long non-coding RNA of Mustela erminea (ermine), 3204 nucleotides long. RefSeq lists it as uncharacterized. Lineage: Eukaryota; Metazoa; Chordata; Mammalia; Carnivora; Mustelidae. The transcript has 2 exons. The record is from RefSeq and is a predicted model, not a curated record.
AUCCCAAGACCCUGGGAUCAUGACCUGAGCCGAAGGCAGAGGCUUUAACCCACUGAGCCACCCAGGCGCCCCUGGGGGGGACUCUUUAACCACCAGCCAGACCAACCCUUCAGCCAUCAGAUGGGGAACACGAGGCCCAGGGCAGGCCAGCCCAGUGUCCAGCAAGCCCACAGGCGAGAGCCGGGUGGAACAAGGGGGUAGGACCCGCCAGUCCCGGACCCAGGAGGCAAACGGGGUCAGAUUGUGCGGGAUGCCAACAUAGGGAGCGGGAGCUGGGAGCUGCUCUGAGGGCCUGGGCUGGUCCUCUGGGUGUGAGGGAAGGUCCCCCACCCCCAGCCUAGACCCCGGAGGAAGCACAGUGGUUGACAGAGAGGCUGAGUGACUGAGGAAAGCAGGACCAGAUCCAGGAACCUGCUCCCGCCCUUUCUGUGGGAGAAGCGGCCGCCACACCUGCCCUCCCCGCCAGCUCCGGUCUGGCCUCAGCUCCCAAUGUGCAGCAUGGGAGGGACUGGUCCUCGGUGUCCUUGCCCGUGCCAGUGGGUGCGAUGCCACUCAGCCUUGGCACAGCGGGGUCCCACAGCAGCCCCCAGAGGAGCAGGGCUGGCGGGCGCGGCCCCCCAUGGGGAGUGAGGAGGGAGGUCAGCGCCCUGCAGACAAUCCACACGGAGCAGGUGCCCCCCCCAUCUCCGGGACGGGCCCAGGGCCAUCAGGCUGACCCGCCCCCCUGCUCCCCGCUGCCUGGGAUCGGGAGGGCAGCCCCCGAACAGCGGAGGGGUGUGCCUGGAGCGUGCCCCCGACGUGUGACUCAUGGACGCUCAAUUUGAGUUUCAUGUCAUUUUUAUGUGUCACAAAAUAUUUUCCUUCUUUGGCUGUUUUUUCACGGGUUUAAACACGUGACUGCAUUCUUGGGGAGACGCAGACACAGCGCAGGGCCUGGUGCACACCCCCGUGCUCAGCCUGAUCUCCCCAGGUCUCGGGCAGCUCUGUCGUCAUCACGGUUCGCAGGAAGCCAAGGCUCACGGCAGGUUAAGAGCCCCGUCCCUGCUCUCCCAGCGGAGAGACAGCCUGGCAGGGCCGCUGGCAGUCAGGCCUCCAAGAACCAGGCUUGGGGUCCCCACGCGCCCCUCCUGCAUGCGGUUUAUGCUGGCCUGUGGUUCCCACACUGCGGCCGGCAGUGGAAGCGUGCCUGCUCCCCCCCCCCCCACCCCGCAGCAUUAGUGCCGGGCUCUGCUUCUGAAUGAAUGGGGGCGGCCCCGGGGGGCGGGAGGGGGGGACGACUCCCAAAAGACCAUCUGGCUCUGCGUUAUAAUAGAGCAAUGAAGGGCUUGUCUGCCUUUCAGAGGUUGGGAGCGAGCUGCUCUCUGACACGGCAGGGUUUUAACCAGCUUUGGACUGCGACCUGGGCCUGCCCCCGGCCACUGGGGGGGUGGGGGCCACGUGGGCCAGAGAGGCCCCUAAUCCGGAGGGGCCCAUGAGACUCAAGGGCCCCGCGCUUUCCCACACCCCCCGCCUCUGCGCGUCCACCCUGCUCCUCUUUCCGCUGGGGAAACUGAGGCCUCGGAGGCUGGGGCUGGUCAAGCCUAGGGUCUGAGCUCUCCCACUCAGAGACCAGAGCACCCUCCGUUUAGGAACAUGGGGCCUGCUCUGGCCCACAAAGCCUGGGGUCCCCAAGUCUGGCCUGGGAACUUGGUGGGACCGCUGCUCAGGUGUGAUCCCACCCCCGCCAUGAAGGGCGGGAGCUGCGGAGACCCAGGGACGGCCUGCCCUCCCCCAGUCAGGCUGCAGGGUAGUGCCUGGUUUGGACGAGCUGAGAGAAGGGGUGGGUGCGGAGGCUGAAGUCACCACCCCCACUGUCCAGGGCAGAGCCAGCUCAUCCCAGGCCCCCAGGAGUAAGGACGGAGGCCAAACUCACAGCUGGAAGCUGUCCAAGGGCAGCUUCCGCAGAAGGGUUUCAGCCCCCCGGAGCACAGAAUCUGACGGAGCGGGCAGGUCUGUGACCUGACCCCCAGCAUUCCACGUAUGAGGCCCAGCCUGGCCCACCUCGUGGGUACUCACAGGCAGUCCUUCCCUGCUCAGAGCCCCUACUCCCUGGGACCCCGCCACCAUGAAAGGAGAGGUGUGUGUACAGACAAGGGUGUGCGGAGAGCCUCGAGCCCCUGACUUGGUGACCCUGAUUCAGUACACUGGCCUCUGCUCAGGGGAGAAUCACAGGCAACUCCAAGCUGUCAGUCCCAGCAAUGAGGGCUCCUUCUGGGCCAGGCCAAGCGGGGCGGGGUGGGGGGGUCUCCUCUCGGCAGUGCCGCACUCGGCCACCCUGGGUCAUCUCCCGCGACCUGGAACCAGGGCCUCCAUCACGUGGUCUUGGCGGGAAAAGCCCACCGCACAGAGGGCCAAGGUUCACCUGUUCCCGACCAGGGGGCUCAGAGCGGCCCUCAGCCCGGCGUGAACCUUCUUCUCAAGGGUCUCUAACACCUGGGCAGCAGGACGCCGCUGUGAAGGAGUGACCCAGCUGGGACACCUGAGCUGUGUCUACACACUGACCAGCCAAGGAGAGUGGGCCAAGCUGAGGGGCCAGGGAGCCAGGGCCAGGCCCUUUAUUCCCGGAGCCCAGCGCACACCCUGGGAUGAGCACACACAGGCGGGGGAACCCCUGCCAGCCGGACUUGGAGACGCUGGUCCCUAUUUCAACGCCCCCCGCCGCCGCCCCCACCAAGCCCAGAUGUCCCCAUUCUCAUUGCCUGGCAAAGUGUCUGCCGUUGCUUAUCUGGAACACACCUGCUAUCCCUCCAAGGACUGCUCGGGCCUCUCCUCCUCCAGGAAGACCUUCCUGGGCACCCCUAUCGCCCCCUCCAUUCCCGAAAUCCAUGGCUCUUUCAAGAAGCAUCAGUGCCUCCACCUUCCGCACGAUGCCGAGCCCAAGUGUGCCCUCUUAGAAACCACAGGAGGGUCUGACGCUCACUCCAGAGAAUCCGGGAAACAGAGGCAUAAUGGAAACCAACCCCUGUGUGUGUCACACAAACUAAGCAGUGUGUGUGUCCCAAAGCGCCGGCAUUGGGGAGCUUUUCCUUGACUUCUCUGCCAAGGUCAAGUGGGCGUCUCUCCGGAGUGUUGGCCUGUCUUAGAUGUACACCUCACAACAUUAUCCCCUACCUGUGAGGGUUUCCUGCCCCCCCCGCCCCUGGGUGGAGGCUGGGCCUCAGGACC